Long non-coding RNA from Galleria mellonella (greater wax moth), 502 nucleotides. RefSeq lists it as uncharacterized. NCBI's taxonomy places the organism in Eukaryota, Metazoa, Arthropoda, Insecta, Lepidoptera, Pyralidae. The record is from RefSeq and is a predicted model, not a curated record. The transcript is spliced from 2 exons.
ACGAUAUAAAUAUUUCCCACUUACGAGUAAUAACAACAUUUUAUUAUCUCCAUUUACACAUACAUGAAUAAAUAAGUUGACAUAUUUUUGGCAAAGCGUUUUUUUUAAGACUCUCCAUCUGAAGGCGUUCGUGAGCGACGGUAGCUGCUUUCCAUCAGGUGGACCGUCUGGUCAUUUGCCUAUUAUUACAUUAAAAAAAAAUUAUAAACCUUAGGAAACAACUUAAAAUCAAAGGUAAUUACAAGUAGAUCUCGAACCAUCAAUUACAUUACGUCCAUGACUGCAUCGGAUUCGAGUUCUUUGCACUUCGUUCAAUUAAGGAUGCAAUUUCUAAAGGGGGCUGGACGCAGCAAGCACCUCCCCGAAAUUCGCGUUGUCUGAAUGCAUAUUAAUAAUUUGGACGCAAAAAAAUAAUUCUUUUUUCUGCAAAUGGCGGGAAACUUAUCAACUCAUAAUUGCUUAAUUAUCAAUGUUGUAUAAGUACACUGUAAUGAUCCCCAUA